RNAcentral lists this ribosomal RNA (1612 nucleotides) under human gut metagenome. RNAcentral describes it as "bacterial LSU rRNA". It matches the Rfam family "Bacterial large subunit ribosomal RNA", at positions 1330 to 2925 of the family's 2925-position model. The record is from RNAcentral.
CCGUUCGCCGGAAGACCAAGGGUUCCUGUCCAACGUUAAUCGGGGCAGGGUGAGUCGGCCCCUAAGGCGAGGCUGAAAAGCGUAGUCGAUGGGAAACGGGUUAAUAUUCCCGUACUUGGAUAAACUGCGAUGUGGGGACGGAGCAGGUUAGGUUAUCGCACUGUUGGAUAUGUGCGUUUAAGUUUGUAGGUGUGAAGUUUAGGCAAAUCCGGACUUCUUUAACACUGAGAGAUGAUGACGAGGCUCUACGGAGCUGAAGUAACCGAUACCACACUUCCAGGAAAAGCCACUAAGCUUCAGGUUUAUCUAAACCGUACUGAAAACCGACACAGGUGGUCAGGUAGAGAAUACUCAGGCGCUUGAGAGAACUCGGGUGAAGGAACUAGGCAAAAUAGCACCGUAACUUCGGGAGAAGGUGCGCCGGCGUAGAUUGUAGUCCCUUGCGGAUGAAGGUUGAACCGGUCGAAGAUACCAGCUGGCUGCAACUGUUUAUUAAAAACACAGCACUCUGCAAACACGAAAGUGGACGUAUAGGGUGUGAUGCCUGCCCGGUGCUGGAAGGUUAAUUGAUGGUGUAAUCGAAAGAGAAGCUCCUGAUCGAAGCCCCAGUAAACGGCGGCCGUAACUAUAACGGUCCUAAGGUAGCGAAAUUCCUUGUCGGGUAAGUUCCGACCUGCACGAAUGGCAUAAUGAUGGCCAGGCUGUCUCCACCCGAGACUCAGUGAAAUUGAAAUCGCCGUGAAGAUGCGGUGUACCCGCGGCUAGACGGAAAGACCCCGUGAACCUUUACUAUAGCUUGACACUGAACAUUGAAUUUUGAUGUGUAGGAUAGGUGGGAGACUUUGAAGUAGUCACGCCAGUGAUUAUGGAGUCGUCCUUGAAAUACCACCCUUUAACGUUUGAUGUUCUAACGAAGAUUACGAAACGUGGUCUCGGACAGUGUCUGGUGGGUAGUUUGACUGGGGCGGUCUCCUCCCAAAGAGUAACGGAGGAGCACGAAGGUUUGCUAAUGACGGUCGGACAUCGUCAGGUUAGUGCAAUGGUAUAAGCAAGCUUAACUGCGAGACAGACAAGUCGAGCAGGUACGAAAGUAGGUCAUAGUGAUCCGGUGGUUCUGAAUGGAAGGGCCAUCGCUCAACGGAUAAAAGGUACUCCGGGGAUAACAGGCUGAUACCGCCCAAGAGUUCAUAUCGACGGCGGUGUUUGGCACCUCGAUGUCGGCUCAUCACAUCCUGGGGCUGAAGUAGGUCCCAAGGGUAUGGCUGUUCGCCAUUUAAAGUGGUACGCGAGCUGGGUUUAGAACGUCGUGAGACAGUUCGGUCCCUAUCUGCCGUGGGCGUUGGAGAAUUGAUUGGGGCUGCUCCUAGUACGAGAGGACCGGAGUGGACGCACCACUGGUGUUCCGGUUGUGUCGCCAGACGCAUUGCCGGGUAGCUAAGUGCGGAAGAGAUAAGUGCUGAAAGCAUCUAAGCACGAAACUUGCCAAGAGAUGAGUUCUCCCAGAUUUUAAAUCUGUAAGGGUUGUUUAAGACUAAGACGUAGAUAGGUCUGGUGUGUAAGCGGUGCGAGCCGUUGAGCUAACAGAUACUAAUUGCCCGAGAGGCUUAACUAU